This 246-nucleotide ribosomal RNA is filed under the name uncultured Lactobacillus sp. RNAcentral describes it as "partial 16S ribosomal RNA". It matches the Rfam family "Bacterial small subunit ribosomal RNA", at positions 116 to 355 of the family's 1533-position model. The record is from RNAcentral. Lineage: Bacteria; Bacillati; Bacillota; Bacilli; Lactobacillales; Lactobacillaceae.
CGUGGGUAACCUGCCCAAGAGAUCGGGAUAACACCUGGAAACAGAUGCUAAUACCGGAUAACAACAGAUGAUGCCUAUCAACUGUUUAAAAGAUGGUUCUGCUAUCACUCUUGGAUGGACCUGCGGUGCAUUAGCUAGUUGGUAGGGUAACGGCCUACCAAGGCGAUGAUGCAUAGCCGAGUUGAGAGACUGAUCGGCCACAUUGGGACUGAGAUACGGCCCAAACUCCUACGGGAGGCAGCAGUC